UUUGGUGGCGAUAGCGAAGAGGUCACACCCGUUCCCAUGCCGAACACGGAAGUUAAGCUCUUCAGCGCCGAUGGUAGUCGGGGGUUUCCCCCUGUGAGA
Molecule: ribosomal RNA, 99 nt
Filed under: Bacillus mojavensis
Lineage: Bacteria; Bacillati; Bacillota; Bacilli; Caryophanales; Bacillaceae
Source: RNAcentral